AGAGAGAGAGAGAGAGAGAGAGGAGUGAUGGAGGAGAUGGCAUCAGGAACGAGGGAGAGGGAUUUGUGUGGGUGUGGAAGGCAAGAAAGAUUGAUUUGGCGUCAGUAACGAGGAUAUGUGAAGGGAUGAUUCCACUCCUCUACAAUAUUAUUCAAUGCCAGGGAUAAUAAUCCAAUCCCAUCCCUUUCCUUCAUUACUCCUUCCUAUUGCUUCUGACUCUUUUACUUAUUAUAUCCUCUCCCUCCCUCCAUCUCUCUCUCUGCCUCUUCCUCUCCCACUUGCAUGCGUGCAGCCCACUCAAGAAAUCUCCUCCUUUUAGUAGUAGUAGAAGGAGAAGACCUUUCUCUCACUGUCUAUUCUCUCUUUUUUUUUUUACUUUAUAUAUAUGUGUAUCUAUCUUUCUCUGGAGGCUGAAGUGGACGGAGAGAUGAUGGUGGUGUUUCAUGUGGGUUUUUCAAAGGGUUUCUUACGGAGUUUAUUGGCAUUCUGUCCACCUCCAGUGAGAAGAGAAGAAUAAAAAGAAAAACCCAUGUGUUGUUUCUUGUUAAUGGAGGUGGGCAUACUGCCAACUGAGCUAUGUCGGUUUCUCUUUGUGAAACCUAUGUGAUAUGAUUUGAGACUGGGUUGUGUAAUUUAUUCCUUCUCUUCAGUUAAAAGGAUGUGCAAAUGUGGUUCCGAGAAACAGCAAUGGAGAUAUCAAAGAAGACCUUUCAAGGUUUGAGUAUAUCUCUCCUUUCAAAACCCUAGUACUUUUUAUUUUUAAUAUUUACUUUUACCAAACCAUGAUUUAGAGAAAUGGGUGUCUUGCAAAGCUUCUUUUCGUGCCUGUUAUCAUUUCUAGGCUUUCCGAAGAAAGGAAAGCAUUGAGGAGAUAGGAGAUGGUCAUAAUCGCUUGUGGAAAGUGAUUGGUGGAUAUCAUCUUUUUCAAUCCGCCGGAGAAUCAUUAGGGAUUGCAUGCUAAUCUCAUUCCCACCUACUGUAUCCUCUUAUAUUCAUGUAUCCUAUUUCGUUUUGCAUCAGUUGCAACUCAGGAUGUGUGUUGCCACCUACUGGGCCCACAAACUGAGCUAGGCUGAUCAUCUGAACCGUCCAUAUUCUAGUUGCUUCCUCGAAGUUUACAUGAUCUUAACCUUUGAUUUUUACAGUUGAAUGCAAGCAUGGAAAAUUUUCUUUUCAU
Long non-coding RNA from Magnolia sinica, 1177 nucleotides. RefSeq lists it as uncharacterized. The transcript has 2 exons. Lineage: Eukaryota; Viridiplantae; Streptophyta; Magnoliopsida; Magnoliales; Magnoliaceae. The record is from RefSeq and is a predicted model, not a curated record.